AGCCCAGCCAACAACAGCAGAAAGGAUAGUCAUCACAAUUAAAGCUGCUAGGCAACCUGACAAAACAAGUCUUCUUGGGUGACGCAUUGCCAAUAUCUUGAAACAAGUAACAUAAGUCAGACAAGCACAGACAAGAAGGAAAUAAUUUUUGCGCUACACAUCAAAGUAAAACUGUAAUACAAGUUCCAACAACUCAGAAAACAAUAUAAAUGGAAAAAAGGGUGAAAAUUUGAGGUGGUACUAUUGCUAACUUUUCAGAUGACCACACAAACAAACUACAAAGGACAAACAAAAAGCUUAUUGAGAAAAUAUGAAAUAUAAAAGAAUUUAAAUAGUAAAACACAAAGAAAGCACCGCUAAUCCCCACUCACAAAAAGAAAAAGGUUUCAUCAGAACAAUUCAAAUGAUAUCUCAAAAUCUUCUUUAUUGUAUCUGUAGUCAUAGUUUUCUCCUCAAGGCUGUCUCACUACAUGUGAAGACCAUAUACAUGAUCACUAGUCUUUAGUCCUUUGAUUUCUUCAACCAACAAGUGGAAUAUAUCAGUUCAAAAUAUUAGCUUUGGAGCACUCAACGAUGCAGGAAUAAUUCUUCUACAAAGGCUGUUAUUGGAUAGAAAUUCUACAUUUUUACCAUCAAAACUUUGCUCAAAAAGGUUUUGCAUUUUGAGACCCUAAAAUGUAGAACAACAGACAACUCCCAUUAGUGAUGCUUAUUGAGAUAUGUUGGCUCACUCUACAAUCAUGCCUACGAAAGAAGUCUCCCCACCUUGAGUGCAUAACUGCAACUGCCAAAAACACCCAAGUAGUUGACAAGCUAAUGUUUGACAAAAUUUAAUUGAGGAAAGGGCAUGCACGAGUGAUGGAGAUAAAAAAAAAAAAAUACAUAUGUGCGACAUUAAUUAACUUGUAAUGCAAGUUUGACAUAAAGCCCACAGAGGCAGGCAAAAACCAAAACUAACAGCAAUAUGAGUAGGCUGCUGGAAUAGCAAUAAUACUAACACAAAACCUUUCAACAUGACCAUAGCACACAGGUAGGUAGUAACUGGGGGAGACAACACCCAAUAGAAAUAGAUAGAUUAUUAAUGUAUGAGAACAGAAUCACAACACCAAAGAAAAGAUAUGAGGAUAUAUUAAACUAUAAAACAAGAAUUGAUCCCUGUCCUAGUGGACCCUGUGAAAACGCAAUCUAUCACUCAGGACGAGAACUUAACCAUUUUAGCGUAAUAUGUACUUUUUAAUACACGCCCAGAAAGUCUUAACAUGUCUCAUCUGAAUUUAGAAAAGGGGGAAAACAAUAAUUUACUGAUUGAAUUGACACAAAAUAGCAAUGAUAUAAACAAAUAAGCUCGUCAGAAACCCAACUUGGACAAUUAAUUUCUCUGCCAUACAUAGAAAAUAAAGCUGCGUAUCAUGUAUGCAGUUUAUGAUUCCCGCAUUACUCGCAGCGGCGAAAAAGGUCUUGUCGCCG
This 1467-nucleotide unclassified non-coding RNA is filed under the name Hevea brasiliensis (rubber tree). Lineage: Eukaryota; Viridiplantae; Streptophyta; Magnoliopsida; Malpighiales; Euphorbiaceae. The record is from RNAcentral.